CGAGUGGUAGCCACUAUUAUUGGGCCUAAAGCGUUCGUAGCCGGUUUAGUAAAUUCUUGGGUAAAUCGUACAGCUUAACUGUGCGGAUUCCGGGGACACUACUAGACUUGAGACCGGGAGAGAUUAGAGGUACUUGCAGGGGAGCGGUGAAAUGUUGUAAUCCUGCAGGGACCACCAGUGGCGAAGGCGUCUAAUCAUAACGGCUCUGACGGUGAGGAACGAAACCCUGGGGCGCAAACGGGAUUAGAUACCCCGGUAGUCCAGGGCGUAAACGCUGCUGACUUGGUGUUGGAGAUCCUACGAGGGUGUCCAGUGCUGGCGCGAAGGUAUUAAGUCAGCCGCCUGGGGAGUACGGUCGCAAGACUGAAACUUAAAGGAAUUGGCGGGGGAGCACUGCAACGUGUGGAGCGUGCGGUUUAAUUGGAUUCAACGCCGGAAAACUCACCGGGGGCGACGGUUACAUGAAGGCCAAGCUGAUGACUUUGCCUGAUUUUCCGAGAGGUGGUGCAUGGCCGCCGUCAGUUCGUACCGUAAGGCGUUCUGUUAAGUCAGAUAACGAACGAGACCUCCGUCACCAUUUGCUAUCCUCUUCUCCGGAAGGGGAGCACUAUGGUGGUACCGCCACUGUUAAAGUGGAGGAAGGAGGGGGCAACGGUAGGUCAGUAUGCCCCGAAUCUCCCGGGCUACACGCGCGCUACAAAGGGCAGGACAAUGGGCUUCGACACCGAAAGGUGAAGGCAAUCCUGAAACCUGCUCGUAAUUCGGAUUGAGGGCUGCAAUUCGCCCUCAUGAAGCUGGAAUACGUAGUAAUCGCGGGUCAACAUCCCGCGGUGAAUAUGCCCCUGCUCCUUGCACACACCGCCCGUCAAACCACCUUAGUUGGGUCUGGACGAGGGUUUGUCUUCUGACACGCUCGAAUCUGGGUUCAGCGAGGAGGGUUAAGUCGUAACAAGGUAUCCGUA
RNAcentral lists this ribosomal RNA (962 nucleotides) under marine metagenome. RNAcentral describes it as "bacterial SSU rRNA". It matches the Rfam family "Archaeal small subunit ribosomal RNA", at positions 485 to 1451 of the family's 1478-position model. The record is from RNAcentral.